CGUAGCCGGAGCGAAAGCGAGUCUGAAUAGGGCGCGUAGUCAGUGGGGGUAGACGCGAAACCUUGUGAUCUACCCAUGGCCAGGAUGAAGUUGCAGUAACAUGCAAUGGAGGUCCGAACUGGUAAACGUUGAAAAGUUUUCGGAUGAGCUGUGGGUAGGGGUGAAAGGCUAAUCAAACUGGGAAAUAGCUCGUACUCCCCGAAAUGUAUUUUGGUACAGCGUCGGGAUUAAGUUUAGCGGAGGUAGAGCUACCAAUAGGACUAGGGGGAGUCAAAUCCUACCAAAUCCUGAUGAACUCCGAAUGCCGCUAAAUAUGCCCGGCAGUGAGGGCUUGGGUGCUAAGGUCCAAGUCCGAGAGGGAAAGAACCCAGACUAACAGCUAAGGUCCCAAAAUAUAUCCUAAGUUGAACAAAGGAGGUUCAGUUGCAGAGACAGCCAGGAUGUUUGCUCGGAAGCAGCAAUUCAUUUAAAGAGUGCGUAACAGCUCACUGGUCGAGCGACAGGGCAUCGAUAAUAAACGGGCAUCAAGGGUAUUACCGAAGCUUUAGAUUUGUAUCAAGAGAUACAAGUGGUAGGGGAGCAUUCUAAGGCCGGUGAAGGCGGAACGUGAGUUCUGCUGGAGGGCUUAGAAAAGCAAAUGUAGGAAUAAGUAACGAUAAUAAGGGUGAGAAUCCCUUACACCGAUAGACUAAGGUUUCCUGAUCAACGUUCGUCGGAUCAGGGUUAGUCGGGACCUAAGGCGAACCCAUUGUAGUGGUGGGACAGUCGAUGGACAACUGGUUAAUAUUCCAGUACUUGUGUAUACUGCUAUGGAGAGACGGAGUAGUGAAAAGUUCGCGUGGUGACGGAAUACCACGUUAAAACCAGUAGAUAUAUUUGGGGUAGGCAAAUCCGCCCCGAAUGUCGAAGGUGAUAGUACAACAAAGCUUCGGCAGCGUUGAUAGUGACUGUAAACAGACUUCCAAGAAAAUCUUCUAUGCUUCAGGUAUACACGACCCGUACCGCAAACCGACACAGGUAGUCAAGGAGAGAAUCCUGAGGUGCGCGAGUGAUUCACGGCUAAGGAACUCGGCAAAUUAACCCUGUAACUUCGGGAGAAGGGGUGCUUCCUCUAGCGAUAGAGAAGCCGCAGUGAAAAGUCUCAGGCGACUGUUUAACAAAAACACAUGGCUCUGCGAAAUCGAAAGAUAAAGUAUAGGGCCUGACACCUGCCCGGUGCCGGAAGGUUAAGAGGGGGGCUUAGCGUAAGCGAAGGUCUGAAUCGAAGCCCCGGUAAACGGCGGCCGUAACUAUAACGGUCCUAAGGUAGCGAAAUUCCUUGUCGGGUAAGUUCCGACCUGCACGAAUGGUGUAACGAUCUGAGAACUGUCUCAGCCGUGAGCUCGGUGAAAUUGUAGUAGCGGUGAAGAUGCCGCUUACCCGUCACGGGACGGAAAGACCCCGUGCACCUUUACUAUAGCUUUGCAUUGAUUUUGGGUAAAUGAUGUGUAGGAUAGGUGGGAGGCUUUGAAGCGGGUACGCUAGUAUUCGUGGAGCCAACGUUGAAAUACCACCCUUUAUUUACUUGGAGUCUAACCCCUGAAUAGGGAAACAGUGCAUGGUGGGUAGUUUGACUGGGGUGGUCGCCUCCAAAAAAGUAUCGGAGGCUUCUAAAGGUUCCCUCAGUACGCUUGGUAACCGUACGUAGAGUGCAAUGGCAUAAGGGAGCUUGACUGUGAGACAAACAAGUCGAUCAGGUACGAAAGUAGAGCAUAGUGAUCCGGUGGUUCCGCAUGGAAGGGCCAUCGCUCAAAGGAUAAAAGGUACGCCGGGGAUAACAGGCUGAUCUCCCCCAAGAGCUCACAUCGACGGGGAGGUUUGGCACCUCGAUGUCGGCUCGUCACAUCCUGGGGCUGGAGAAGGUCCCAAGGGUUCGGCUGUUCGCCGAUUAAAGUGGCACGCGAGCUGGGUUCAGAACGUCGUGAGACAGUUCGGUCCCUAUCUGUGAUGGGCGUAGGAAGUUUGAGUGGACCUGACCUUAGUACGAGAGGACCGGGUUGGACUAACCUCUGGUGUAUCUGUUGUGCCGCCAGGUGCAGUGCAGAGUAGCCACGUUGGGACGAGAUAAGCGCUGAAAGCAUCUAAGCGCGAAACUCACCACAAGAUGAGACUUCCAUACAGGGACGUCAGAGACUAUGACGUUGAUAGGCUGCAAGUGUAAAGUCAGAAAUGGCAUAGCUGAGCAGUACUAAUUACCCGAUAAUUUUCUUU
Molecule: ribosomal RNA, 2250 nt
Filed under: metagenome
Description: bacterial LSU rRNA
Rfam family: Bacterial large subunit ribosomal RNA
Source: RNAcentral